GACGAACGCUGGCGGCGUGCUUAACACAUGCAAGUCGAACGGAAAGGCCCUGCUUUUGUGGGGUGCUCGAGUGGCGAACGGGUGAGUAACACGUGAGUAACCUGCCCUUGACUUUGGGAUAACUUCAGGAAACUGGGGCUAAUACCGGAUAGGAGCUCCUGCUGCAUGGUGGGGGUUGGAAAGUUUCGGCGGUUGGGGAUGGACUCGCGGCUUAUCAGCUUGUUGGUGGGGUAGUGGCUUACCAAGGCUUUGACGGGUAGCCGGCCUGAGAGGGUGACCGGCCACAUUGGGACUGAGAUACGGCCCAGACUCCUACGGGAGGCAGCAGUGGGGAAUAUUGCACAAUGGGCGGAAGCCUGAUGCAGCAACGCCGCGUGCGGGAUGACGGCCUUCGGGUCGCAAACCGCUUUCGCCUGUGACGAAGCGUGAGUGACGGUAAUGGGUAAAGAAGCACCGGCUAACUACGUG
RNAcentral lists this ribosomal RNA (468 nucleotides) under uncultured bacterium. RNAcentral's name for it is "partial 16S ribosomal RNA". It matches the Rfam family "Bacterial small subunit ribosomal RNA", at positions 28 to 507 of the family's 1533-position model. The record is from RNAcentral.